This 504-nucleotide ribosomal RNA is filed under the name uncultured bacterium. Its description in RNAcentral is "partial 16S ribosomal RNA". It matches the Rfam family "Bacterial small subunit ribosomal RNA", at positions 28 to 507 of the family's 1533-position model. The record is from RNAcentral.
GACGAACGCUGGCGGCGUGCUUAACACAUGCAAGUCGAACGGUGAAGCGCUUGCCUUUUUGGUGGGUGUGGAUGAGUGGCGAACGGGUGAGUAACACGUGAGUAACCUGCCCUCUUCUUCUGGAUAACCUCAUGAAAGUGGGGCUAAUACGGGGUAUUCCGGGUCUGUCGCAUGGCGGGUUUGGGAAAGAUUGCGCCUUUGGGUGUUUUCGGUGGGGGAUGGGCUCGCGGCCUAUCAGCUUGUUGGUGGGGUGAUGGCCUACCAAGGCGGUGACGGGUAGCCGGCCUGAGAGGGUGGACGGCCACACUGGGACGGAGACACGGCCCAGACUCCUGCGGGAGGCAGCAGUGGGGAAUAUGGCACAAUGGGCGCAAGCCUGAUGCAGCGACGCCGCGUGAGGGAUGGAGGCCUUCGGGUUGUGAACCUCUUUCGCCAGUGAAGCAGGCCUGCUCCUGUGUGGGUGGGUUGACGGUAGCUGGAGAAGAAGCGCCGGCUAACUACGUG